Molecule: ribosomal RNA, 253 nt
Filed under: uncultured bacterium
Lineage: Bacteria
Description: partial 16S ribosomal RNA
Rfam family: Bacterial small subunit ribosomal RNA
Source: RNAcentral
UACAGAGGGUGCAAGCGUUAAUCGGAAUUACUGGGCGUAAAGCGCACGUAGGUGGUGUUUUAAGUUAGGUGUGAAAUCCCCGGGCUCAACCUGGGAACUGCAUCUAAGACUGGGACACUAGAGUAUGGUAGAGGGAAGUGGAAUUUCCGGUGUAGCGGUGAAAUGCGUAGAUAUCGGAAGGAACACCAGUGGCGAAGGCGGCUUCCUGGACUAAUACUGACACUGAGGUGCGAAAGCGUGGGUAGCGAACAGG